This 332-nucleotide unclassified non-coding RNA is filed under the name soil metagenome. RNAcentral's name for it is "partial contains 5.8S ribosomal RNA, internal transcribed spacer 2, and large subunit ribosomal RNA". The stretch from base 1 to 120 matches the Rfam family "5.8S ribosomal RNA", at positions 35 to 154 of the family's 154-position model. The record is from RNAcentral.
GAUGAAGAACGUAGUGAAAUGCGAUAAGUAGUGUGAAUUGCAGAAUUCAGUGAAUCAUCGAAUCUUUGAACGCACAUUGCGCCCUUUGGUAUUCCUUAGGGCAUGCCUGUUCGAGCGUCAUUUAAACCUUCAAGCUAAGCUUGGUGUUGGGUGACUGUCCGCCUCACGGCGGACUCGCCUCAAAAUUAUUGGCGGCCGGUACAUUGGCUUCGAGCGCAGCAGAAACGCGAACUCGGGCCCGUCGUAUUGGCUCCCAGAAGCUAUCUUCACAAUUUUGACCUUGGAUCAGGUAGGGAUACCCGCUGAACUUAAGCAUAUCAAUAAGCGGAGGA